RNAcentral lists this ribosomal RNA (633 nucleotides) under Papiliotrema flavescens. RNAcentral describes it as "eukaryotic LSU rRNA". It matches the Rfam family "Eukaryotic large subunit ribosomal RNA", at positions 67 to 664 of the family's 3401-position model. The record is from RNAcentral. Lineage: Eukaryota; Fungi; Basidiomycota; Tremellomycetes; Tremellales; Rhynchogastremaceae.
CAGGGGGAGGCGCCGUAGUAGCUCGCUGAGUGAACCGCCGAAGAGCUCAAAUUUGAAAUCUGGCGUGCUCAGUGCGUCCGAGUUGUAAUCUAUAGAGUCGUUUUCCGUGCCGGACUGUGUCCAAGUCCCUUGGAACAGGGUAUCAAAGAGGGUGAUAAUCCCGUACUUGACACAAUGACCGGUGCUCUGUGAUACGUCUUCUACGAGUCGAGUUGUUUGGGAAUGCAGCUCAAAAUGGGUGGUGAGUUCCAUCUAAAGCUAAAUAUUGGCGAGAGACCGAUAGCGAACAAGUACCGUGAGGGAAAGAUGAAAAGCACUUUGGAAAGAGAGUUAAACAGUACGUGAAAUUGUUAAAAGGGAAACGAUUGAAGUCAGUCGUGACUGAGAGGCUCAGCCGGUUCUGCCGGUGUAUUCCCCUCAGUCGGGUCAACAUCAGUUUUGUUCGGUGGAUAAGGGCAGUUGGAAGGUGGCACCCUCGGGUGUGUUAUAGCCAGCUGUCGCAUACAUCGGAUGAGACUGAGGAAUGCAGCUCGCCUUUAUGGCCGGGGUUCGCCCACGUUCGAGCUUAGGAUGUUGACAUAAUGGCUUUAAACGACCCGUCUGAAAACCGGGAACAAAAAUUUUUUUUUUUUU